CGGUGCCUGGCCGCAACGCCCCGCUCCCCGCCCGGCUCCCCAGCACCUCGCCCCAGGCGGGCCUGCGUGGGUGGCCGCCCGGGCCUGAGGCGCCGCGCUGACGGCCCUGGCCUCCUCGGCGGGCCUCCUUCCGCGGGUCCCGGCGGGCGGGCGGGCGGAGCUGCGGGUUGCGAUUAUCGUGGCGGGGACAAGCCCGGCCCUGUGUGAAGGCGGUUCCUUCGUCUGGGCAUCAGCAGGGCUUAUCCCCCUCGGCCGGCCGCGGCCCGCGGCGGGGCUGGAGCGGUGGCGCUGACGGCCGCAGCCUGCGGGCGCGGAGACCCCUCUGCGGUGGCUCUGUGUGGCGGUGAAGGAGAAACAUUAAUAUUAGGAAAUGGCAGAAGCAGUUUUUCAUCCCCCAAGAAGGAAAAGAAGAGUAUUUGAGUCAUAUGAGUCUCCCUUUCCUGUGGAUGUAGGUGGGAAGGAUUUCAGAAUAUGCCAGGCCGAAAUCAUUAACAACAAUGUUAUUGUGAGAAACCCUGAAGAUAUUGAACAGCUUUAUAACAAGGGUUAUUUUGGAAAAGGUAUCCUUUCAAGAAGUCGGCCAGUGUACAGCAUUUCAGAUCCUUCACUGGUUACUAAGUGGCAAGGUGCUAACAUAAACAUGCCCAUAAUUGCAUCCAAAAAGUACCAGUGUCACGUUCAGUGGGCUAAAAGUAUUUUGCAAGAGCAAGGAUUUGAUGACUGCUCGGUUACCAAAAUUCUUGAAAAUUACACUAAGCCUCUUGAGCUGCCAUUUUUGGAAGAGGAUGGAGCUGAACAAACCGGCAAUAGUUGCAACAGAAUGGGCCCAAAUACAGAAAAUACAGAACUUUCCAGACAAUCUUCUACAGCUAUUGGAAAUGUAGUAGCCCUAAGUCCUGAGAAUCAGAAUGAAGGCUACAAGAAAGCCUGUUUGGAAGGAGAUCCUGCAUUUGAUCCUGUGGCCAUACAUGGCUCCAAAGAACAAGAAGAAGGAGACUUGAAAGAGGUAGCUGAAGCGUCUUGCCAGAAGCAUGGUUUUCUCAUGCAUUGUGGCUGCAAGGAGAGCACUGAGCAAGGAUCUUGUGAGAUGAUCAAGUCAAAAGAGUGUGCUCCAGAAUAUGUAUUGGUGCAAGAGGAAGAGGAAGGUAGCUUAUGUCUUGAAGAUGCUGCUGCUCAUGCACAAGAAAAUGUUGUCAAGAAGGAAAAACUAGUAUGCAGAAGAAAUCCAUUUAGGAUUUUUGAAUAUUUACAACUCAGCUUGGAAGAGGCUUUUUUCUUGGUAUAUGCUCUGGGAUGUUUAAGUAUUUAUUAUGGUGAGGAGCCUCUAACUAUUUUGAAGCUAUGGGAAGUUUUCAGCGAAGUGAAGCCCAACUUUAAAACUACUUACAUGGCAUAUCACUACUUCCGCAGUAAGGGUUGGGUCCCCAAAGUUGGACUGAAGUAUGGAACUGAUCUCUUGCUGUAUCGAAAAGGCCCGCCCUUCUAUCAUGCAAGUUACUCUGUCAUUGCUGAAUUAGUUGAUGAUAAUUUUGAAGGUUCUCUUCGCAGACCACUCAGCUGGAAGUCCUUGUCUGGCUUGAACAGAACAACUGUUAAUGCUUCUAAGGAACUUAUGUUAUGCUAUUUGAUUAGACCGUCUGACAUGACUGAAAGAGAGAUGUCGACACCAGAAUGCAUGAAAAGAAUUAAGGUUCAGGAACUGAUUGUAUCUCGUUGGGUUGCUUCCCGUGAGCGCAGUGAGCAAGAUGAACUUUAACUGACUGUAUAGGAAAAACCUUUUUUUUUUUUUUCCAAACCACGCCUUGUUGUUUUUACCUGAUCUUCUCAUGAUGAACCGUUGCCUCAGAACAGUUUCUAUCAACAUAUUCAGUUGGGGACGGCUGAGCUCCCGGUUGCAGCGGAAGCACCGACGUUCUUCGAGAGCGGAGCGUCAGAUGCCGGAUGCCGCCGCAGCAGCGGAGGUGGCUCCGCGAUCGCUGUCACCGAACUCGGGUGAUCGGAGGGGGCGGCCCCGAGGUGGGCACACGGCCCAGAGGCAAGGUACGGGAGAGGGGCGGUUGGCUGCACGGCGGUUACCGCUGCUGUUGGUUAUCCCGACGUGAAGGUCGGAUUUCCCGUCGUAUGCU
Molecule: RNA transcript, 2126 nt
Organism: Grus americana (Whooping crane)
Lineage: Eukaryota; Metazoa; Chordata; Aves; Gruiformes; Gruidae
Gene: TSEN2
Gene name: tRNA splicing endonuclease subunit 2
Exons: 13
Source: RefSeq, a predicted model, not a curated record